RNAcentral lists this ribosomal RNA (515 nucleotides) under uncultured bacterium. Its description in RNAcentral is "bacterial SSU rRNA". It matches the Rfam family "Bacterial small subunit ribosomal RNA", at positions 28 to 526 of the family's 1533-position model. The record is from RNAcentral.
GACGAACGCUGGCGGCGUGCCUAAUACAUGCAAGUCGAGCGAACUUGCGGGAGCUUGCUCCCAAAAGUUAGCGGCGGACGGGUGAGUAACACGUGGGCAACCUGCCUAUAAGACUGGGAUAACUUCGGGAAACCGGAGCUAAUACCGGAUAAUUCUUUUCUACACAUGUAGAAAAGCUGAAAGACGGUUUACGCUGUCACUUAUAGAUGGGCCCGCGGCGCAUUAGCUAGUUGGUGAGGUAACGGCUCACCAAGGCCACGAUGCGUAGCCGACCUGAGAGGGUGAUCGGCCACACUGGGACUGAGACACGGCCCAGACUCCUACGGGAGGCAGCAGUAGGGAAUCUUCCGCAAUGGACGAAAGUCUGAUGGAGCAACGCCGCGUGAGUGAAGAAGGGUUUCGGCUCGUAAAACUCUGUUGUUAAAGAAGAACAGGUGUAAGAGUAACUGUUUACACCGUGACGGUAUUUAACCAGAAAGCCACGGCUAACUACGUGCCAGCCGCCGCCGUAACAC